GACAGAGGGUGCAAACGUUGUUCGGAAUUACUGGGCGUAAAGCGUGUGUAGGCGGUCUUGUCAGUCGGAUGUGAAAGCCCGGGGCUCAACCUCGGAAGUGCACUCGAUACUGCAGGACUUGAGUACCGGAGAGGUGGGUGGAAUUCUCGGUGUAGAGGUGAAAUUCGUAGAUAUCGAGAGGAACACCGGUGGCGAAGGCGGCCCACUGGACGGAUACUGACGCUGAGACACGAAAGCGUGGGGAGCAAACAGG
Molecule: ribosomal RNA, 253 nt
Filed under: uncultured bacterium
Lineage: Bacteria
Description: partial 16S ribosomal RNA
Rfam family: Bacterial small subunit ribosomal RNA
Source: RNAcentral